RNAcentral lists this transfer RNA (69 nucleotides) under Dipodomys ordii (Ord's kangaroo rat). It matches the Rfam family "tRNA". Rfam says of the family: Transfer RNA (tRNA) molecules are approximately 80 nucleotides in length. Their secondary structure includes four short double-helical elements and three loops (D, anti-codon, and T loops). Further hydrogen bonds mediate the characteristic L-shaped molecular structure. tRNAs have two regions of fundamental functional importance: the anti-codon, which is responsible for specific mRNA codon recognition, and the 3' end, to which the tRNAs corresponding amino acid is attached (by aminoacyl-tRNA synthetases). tRNAs cope with the degeneracy of the genetic code in two manners: having more than one tRNA (with a specific anti-codon) for a particular amino acid; and 'wobble' base-pairing, i.e. permitting non-standard base-pairing at the 3rd anti-codon position. The record is from Rfam by way of RNAcentral. Lineage: Eukaryota; Metazoa; Chordata; Mammalia; Rodentia; Heteromyidae.
GGGACUGUGGCUUAGUGGUAGAGUGCUUGCCUAGCAUGCAUCAAGCCCUGGUUCGAUUCCUCAGUACCA